RNAcentral lists this ribosomal RNA (550 nucleotides) under uncultured bacterium. Its description in RNAcentral is "bacterial SSU rRNA". It matches the Rfam family "Bacterial small subunit ribosomal RNA", at positions 355 to 896 of the family's 1533-position model. The record is from RNAcentral.
UAGGGAAUCUUCGGCAAUGGGGGGAACCCUGACCGAGCAACGCCGCGUGAGUGAAGAAGGUUUUCGGAUCGUAAAGCUCUGUUGUUAAGGAAGAACGAGUGUGAGAAUGGAAAGUUCAUACUGUGACGGUACUUAACCAGAAAGGGACGGCUAACUACGUGCCAGCAGCCGCGGUAAUACGUAGGUCCCGAGCGUUGUCCGGAUUUAUUGGGCGUAAAGCGAGCGCAGGCGGUUAGAUAAGUCUGAAGUUAAAGGCAGUGGCUCAACCAUUGUAGGCUUUGGAAACUGUUUAACUUGAGUGCAGAAGGGGAGAGUGGAAUUCCAUGUGUAGCGGUGAAGUGCGUAGAUAUAUGGAGGAACACCGGUGGCGAAAGCGGCUCUCUGGUCUGUAACUGACGCUGAGGCUCGAAAGCGUGGGGAGCGAACAGGAUUAGAUACCCUGGUAGUCCACGCCGUAAACGAUGAGUGCUAGGUGUUAGGUCCUUUCCGGGACUUAGUGCCGCAGCUAACGCAUUAAGCACUCCGCCUGGGGAGUACGACCGCAAGGUUG